AAGAAAGGAGCAUGGUGGUUAUGCAGUUGGCUUGAAACUGAUUUAAGGGGGUUCGAAUCCCUUCUUUCUUG
Molecule: transfer RNA, 71 nt
Filed under: Lissemys punctata (Indian flap-shelled turtle)
Lineage: Eukaryota; Metazoa; Chordata; Testudines; Trionychidae
Description: tRNA-Ser
Rfam family: tRNA
About the family: Transfer RNA (tRNA) molecules are approximately 80 nucleotides in length. Their secondary structure includes four short double-helical elements and three loops (D, anti-codon, and T loops).
Source: RNAcentral